ACGUAGGGUGCAAGCGUUGUCCGGAUUUAUUGGGCGUAAAGAGCUCGUAGGCGGUUUGUUACGUCGGAUGUGAAAUCCUGGAGCUUAACUCCGGGCCUGCAUUCGAUACGGGCAGACUCGAGUGUUGUAGGGGAGACUGGAACUCCUGGUGUAGCGGUGAAAUGCGCAGAUAUCAGGAAGAACACCGAUGGCGAAGGCAGGUCUCUGGGCAACUACUGACGCUGAGGAGCGAAAGCGUGGGGAGCAAACAGGAUUAGAUACCCUGGUAGUCCACGCCGUAAACGGUGGGCGCUAGGUGUGGGGAGCAUUCCACGUUCUCCGCGCCGCAGCUAACGCAUUAAGCGCCCCGCCUGGGGAGUACGGUCGCAAGACUA
This 374-nucleotide ribosomal RNA is filed under the name uncultured bacterium. Its description in RNAcentral is "bacterial SSU rRNA". It matches the Rfam family "Bacterial small subunit ribosomal RNA", at positions 525 to 896 of the family's 1533-position model. The record is from RNAcentral.